Molecule: long non-coding RNA, 873 nt
Organism: Erpetoichthys calabaricus (reedfish)
Lineage: Eukaryota; Metazoa; Chordata; Cladistia; Polypteriformes; Polypteridae
Exons: 3
Source: RefSeq, a predicted model, not a curated record
AUUUAGAGAAGGCCAACAGUAUUUUUUCCAGAGCGUGUGAAAGUGACUUUUCGUAAAGGACCAUUAGGCUUUUUUGCACCAAGACCCAUCUAAUGAAGCAAAAAUACUAAAAGACAACCCAAGGUUGAGGGACAAGUCUGCCCCACUGAAGUAAGAGACUGUCAGAAAAAAUGCCAUCAGGAUUGUCUUGGAAAGGGGGGGUGAUGCCACUGACAAAGUGGAGGUACUUGGGGAAUAUGUUCUCCAGUUUGGAAAGUAUAAAGGCAAGUCUUUUAGGUGGCUUCUUGAAAAUGAUGUAGGAUAUGCAGUCUACAUCAUUCAAAAUAUCCAGAAGGAAAGAGGCACGGGAGUCUUUUUUGAAGGUGGAAACAGCUAGGACAGUCUUUUGUCAUUUGAGGAAUAUGCACUCUGAUUUCAGGAGAUAAAGUCUCUUCUGGAUUAUGAAGUAGACUGACCAACUCUUCUAGCAUCUUCAGAAGAUGAAAACCUUGUUGGUUUUGGUGUGAGAGGGAAGAGCACCUGUAAGGAAAUCUGGGAGGGCAGGGCAGAUGGUUAUGCAGCUUUAAUCAUGGCACAAAAAUGUACAGAAGGUACAAAAAUGCACCGUUUACAAAAGUACCUGUUGAGGAAAAGCCAGGCUGUGGUCACACCAUCUUCAACUACUCAGUCUACUGAAUCUUUGCCAUCCAAUCCAAGUGAACUGUCUGGAAUGGAUGAUGAUGAAGAAUUGGAGAAGGCAAUGCUGAACAUACCACCUUCAUUAUUCCAGACCCAAUAAGCUGAACCACAACUCCUGGGGCUACCAACAUCAGUAGAAACAGGUUUUUCUGCAUAAAUUCAGAUCUGAAGACCAAAAGAUGAAUUUAUCCAUUC